Molecule: ribosomal RNA, 512 nt
Filed under: uncultured bacterium
Lineage: Bacteria
Description: bacterial SSU rRNA
Rfam family: Bacterial small subunit ribosomal RNA
Source: RNAcentral
GAUCAUGGCUCAGAACGAACGCUGGCGGCGCGUUUAAGCAUGCAAGUCGAGCGGCAAGGGCCUUCGGGCCCUAGAGCGGCGGACGGGUGAGUAACACGUGGACAAUCUGCCCCCCGGCCCGGGAUAGCCCAGGGAAACCUGGAUUAAUACCGGAUGAGACGGGACCCGCGAUGGCGGGAUCCGGGAAAGGCGCUGCGGCGCCGCCGGGGGAUGAGUCUGCGUCCCAUUAGCUAGACGGCGGGGUAACGGCCCACCGUGGCGACGAUGGGUAGCCGGCCUGAGAGGGUGGACGGCCACAUUGGAACUGAGACACGGUCCAGACUCCUACGGGAGGCAGCAGCUAAGAAUCUUCCGCAAUGGGCGAAAGCCUGACGGAGCCGACGCCGCGUGAACGAAGAAGGCCGUGAGGUUGUAAAGUUCUUUUCGGGAGGGGGAACAACCGUGGCAGGGAAUGGCCGCGGGAUGACGUGAAUCCCGGAAUAAGCCCCGGCUAACUACGUGCCAGCCGCGGC